Molecule: ribosomal RNA, 254 nt
Filed under: uncultured bacterium
Lineage: Bacteria
Description: partial 16S ribosomal RNA
Rfam family: Bacterial small subunit ribosomal RNA
Source: RNAcentral
UACGAGGGGUGCAAGCGUUGCUCGGAAUUAUUGGGCGUAAAGGGCAUGUAGGUGGUCUCAUUUGUCUACAGGUGAAAGCCUUGAGCUUAACUCAAGAAGUGCCUUAGAAACGGUGAGACUCGAGUACUGUAGAGGCAGGCGGAAUUCCGGGUGUAGCGGUGGAAUGCGUAGAGAUCCGGAAGAACACCGGUGGCGAAGGCGGGUCUCUGGGCCGUAACUGACGCUGAGGAGCGAAAGCAUGGGGAGCGAACAGG